RNAcentral lists this long non-coding RNA (273 nucleotides) under Elaeis guineensis (African oil palm). RNAcentral describes it as "long non-coding RNA (EGUI_LNC070587)". The record is from RNAcentral. Lineage: Eukaryota; Viridiplantae; Streptophyta; Magnoliopsida; Arecales; Arecaceae.
GGCUUACCAAUGCCUUCACCUUGAGAGCAGUUUCACUAAGCCAAAUAUCUGCCUCUAGUACCUCGGCUUAUCAACACCUUCACCCUGAGUGCAGUUCCAUUAAGUUUGAUUGAUAUCUCAUACCAUUCAAGUGCUUCCGCUCCAUAAUCAUCCACACAAGAAAUGGCUCUUUCCAAUGUUCCCAUACCUUGUGCAACUGAGUUCCAUGACUUUCCAAGUUCUCAUCUCAACUUGCACUUUUAAAAACGAGUGCUACAUCAUUCCCUACACUAU